CAAGAAAUAGUUUAUAUAAAAUAUUAAUUUUGGAGAUUAAUGAUAAGGGUAUUUCCUUUUUCUUGA
This 66-nucleotide transfer RNA is filed under the name Orthonevra geniculata. RNAcentral describes it as "tRNA-Pro". Lineage: Eukaryota; Metazoa; Arthropoda; Insecta; Diptera; Syrphidae. The record is from RNAcentral.